This 337-nucleotide ribosomal RNA is filed under the name Pseudarthrobacter sp. RNAcentral describes it as "bacterial SSU rRNA". It matches the Rfam family "Bacterial small subunit ribosomal RNA", at positions 830 to 1167 of the family's 1533-position model. Lineage: Bacteria; Bacillati; Actinomycetota; Actinomycetes; Micrococcales; Micrococcaceae. The record is from RNAcentral.
UUCCACGUUUUCCGCGCCGUAGCUAACGCAUUAAGUGCCCCGCCUGGGGAGUACGGCCGCAAGGCUAAAACUCAAAGGAAUUGACGGGGGCCCGCACAAGCGGCGGAGCAUGCGGAUUAAUUCGAUGCAACGCGAAGAACCUUACCAAGGCUUGACAUGAACCGGAAAGACCUGGAAACAGGUGCCCCGCUUGCGGUCGGUUUACAGGUGGUGCAUGGUUGUCGUCAGCUCGUGUCGUGAGAUGUUGGGUUAAGUCCCGCAACGAGCGCAACCCUCGUUCUAUGUUGCCAGCACGUGAUGGUGGGGACUCAUAGGAGACUGCCGGGGUCAACUCGGA